This is a long non-coding RNA of Anguilla anguilla (European eel), 345 nucleotides long. RefSeq lists it as uncharacterized. The record is from RefSeq and is a predicted model, not a curated record. Lineage: Eukaryota; Metazoa; Chordata; Actinopteri; Anguilliformes; Anguillidae. The transcript is spliced from 3 exons.
GAGAGAGAGAGCGAGAGACCUGGUUGUGAAACGAAAGCAGGGGGAAGACGACAUCUGAAAAACUUCACAAAACAAAGAACUGAGCAUGAGUCAUAACAACAUUUUUCAUAUUCUGGGAACGUAAACGUGAAGAGCCUCAGGCACGGACAGGACUGCCCAUAACUGUGGCCUUCGCGCCCCCUGCUGGUGGACAAUCGACACUGCCAUCAAAACUUCCCAGUGGUACGGCUACUGUAUAUCUAGACAUCGAAGCUUUAAAUGGUGCACUCUCUCCGCCCCCUCCCUCUCCCUCCACACCUGAACGGGAAGGCCCUGUAGAAGAUGUCCAGGGGGCGGGGCCCGGCG